UCCAGACUCCUACGGGAGGCAGCAGUGGGGGAUAUUGCACAAUGGGGGAAACCCUGAUGCAGCGACGCCGCGUGAGUGAAGAAGUAUUUCGGUAUGUAAAGCUCUAUCAGCAGGGAAGAAAAAAGACGGUACCUGACUAAGAAGCCCCGGCUAACUACGUGCCAGCAGCCGCGGUAAUACGUAGGGGGCAAGCGUUAUCCGGAUUUACUGGGUGUAAAGGGAGCGUAGACGGCAAUACAAGUCGGAAGUGAAAUACCCGGGCUUAACCUGGGAACUGCUUUGGAAACUGUAUGGCUGGAGUGCUGGAGAGGUAAGCGGAAUUCCUAGUGUAGCGGUGAAAUGCGUAGAUAUUAGGAGGAACACCAGUGGCGAAGGCGGCUUACUGGACAGUAACUGACGUUGAGGCUCGAAAGCGUGGGGAGCAAACAGGAUUAGAUACCCUUGUAACC
This 449-nucleotide ribosomal RNA is filed under the name uncultured bacterium. Its description in RNAcentral is "bacterial SSU rRNA". It matches the Rfam family "Bacterial small subunit ribosomal RNA", at positions 330 to 795 of the family's 1533-position model. The record is from RNAcentral.